RNAcentral lists this ribosomal RNA (253 nucleotides) under uncultured bacterium. RNAcentral's name for it is "partial 16S ribosomal RNA". It matches the Rfam family "Bacterial small subunit ribosomal RNA", at positions 524 to 776 of the family's 1533-position model. The record is from RNAcentral.
UACGUAGGGGGCAAGCGUUAAUCGGAAUUACUGGGCGUAAAGCGUGCGCAGGCGGUUUUGCAAGACCGAUGUGAAAUCCCCGGGCGUAACCUGGGAAUGGCAUUGGUGACUGCACGGCUAGAGUGUGUCAGAGGGGGGUAGAAUUCCACGUGUAGCAGUGAAAUGCGUAGAGAUGUGGAGGAAUACCGAUGGCGAAGGCAGCCCCCUGGGAUAACACUGACGCUCAUGCACGAAAGCGUGGGGAGCAAACAGG